GGGGUUGUAGCUCAAUGGUAUAGCGCUUGCCUAGCACGUAUGAGGCAGAGUUCGAUCCUCAGAACCACA
This 69-nucleotide transfer RNA is filed under the name Marmota marmota marmota (Alpine marmot). It matches the Rfam family "tRNA". From Rfam's summary of the family: Transfer RNA (tRNA) molecules are approximately 80 nucleotides in length. Their secondary structure includes four short double-helical elements and three loops (D, anti-codon, and T loops). Further hydrogen bonds mediate the characteristic L-shaped molecular structure. tRNAs have two regions of fundamental functional importance: the anti-codon, which is responsible for specific mRNA codon recognition, and the 3' end, to which the tRNAs corresponding amino acid is attached (by aminoacyl-tRNA synthetases). tRNAs cope with the degeneracy of the genetic code in two manners: having more than one tRNA (with a specific anti-codon) for a particular amino acid; and 'wobble' base-pairing, i.e. permitting non-standard base-pairing at the 3rd anti-codon position. The record is from Rfam by way of RNAcentral. Lineage: Eukaryota; Metazoa; Chordata; Mammalia; Rodentia; Sciuridae. RNAcentral also lists the same sequence under 1 other name.